Molecule: ribosomal RNA, 487 nt
Filed under: uncultured bacterium
Lineage: Bacteria
Description: partial 16S ribosomal RNA
Rfam family: Bacterial small subunit ribosomal RNA
Source: RNAcentral
GAUGAACGCUAGCGAUAGGCUUAACACAUGCGAGUCGAGGGGCAGCACAAGGUAGCUUGCUCUCUGGGUGGCGACCGGCGCACGGGUGCGUAACGCGUAUGCAACUUGCCCUAUACAGGAGGAUAACCCGUCGAAAGACGGACUAAUACUGCGUAUGCUCACAACUUGGCAUCAAGUGGUGAGGAAAGAAAUUCGGUAUAGGAUAGGCAUGCGUCCCAUUAGCUUGUUGGUGAGGUAACGGCUCACCAAGGCAACGAUGGGUAGGGGAACUGAGAGGUUUAUCCCCCACACUGGUACUGAGACACGGACCAGACUCCUACGGGAGGCAGCAGUGAGGAAUAUUGGUCAAUGGGCGCGAGCCUGAACCAGCCAAGUCGCGUGAAGGAUGACUGUCUUAUGGAUUGUAAACUUCUUUUAUACGGGAAUAACAAGAGUCACGUGUGACUCCCUGCAUGUACCGUAUGAAUAAGCAUCGGCUAACUCCGUG